This is an RNA transcript of Gossypium raimondii (Peruvian cotton), 4377 nucleotides long. It is a transcript of the gene named protein CHROMOSOME TRANSMISSION FIDELITY 7, with no coding region annotated. Lineage: Eukaryota; Viridiplantae; Streptophyta; Magnoliopsida; Malvales; Malvaceae. The transcript is spliced from 5 exons. The record is from RefSeq and is a predicted model, not a curated record.
ACAAGCUUAACAUCAAAGCCGUUGAGUUGAGGAUGACCCAUGAUCUUUGCAUGUACACCCCUAACAUAUCAACCUGCCCUGCUCCAAAUGCUUGGCCGCAUAAAGUUUCGAGUGCACUUCCCAUCCCAAGCUAUUCAAGUUUUAAUCAAAUUUACCAUGAUGCCAAAGGAGAAACCGGCGAUGACUGAAUUCUCCACGGAGACGGCGGCAAGAGCUAGAGUGCCAACUUGGCCGGAAAAGACUUGAGUGAUAGCGCCGAGGGAGUAUCGGCAGAGAGAUGUGAAGAUGGCGGGGCCAGCAAGGAACCAGAGCUUCUUGGACUCUAUCAGGUAUUCUCUGAAGAAGUCACGGACGCCGUUGAUCGGUGGGAUGUCAUCGAUGCCGGGCGUGAAGGUGGUGUUUGAUGGUCUAGAAAGUAACUGCUCCUGGUGGUGGCUGUCCUCGCCAACUAGCCGAGGGGAAAGAAGCGGUUGCUCAGCGUCCUCCAUAGCCAUAGGAGAGCACAAAGAGCAAUCGGCCAAGAUAUAUAUAGAUUAUAUGUUUAGGAUAUAUUAGAAUUAGAAUAAAGGGGUUUUUUUUUUACUUAGAUAAUAUAAAAAAUAAUAUUUAAAUACCAAAAUGGUAUUCCAUCUCUAUUAUUUACCAAAAUGAUAUGGAUUGAAUACUAUUUAGUGGCACUUUUAGCGGCGUUUGAAUAAAAAACGCCGGUAAAAAUCGAGCAUUAGCGGCGCUUUAUGGAAAUCGCCACUAAAGAUCGAGCAUUAGCGGCCGCUAAAAAUGAGCAUUCGCGACGUUUUUCAGAAAAACGUCGCAAAAAACCAAAGCCCAUCGGCGUCGUUUUCUUACCUUUCAGGGCUUUUGCAGUGUUUUCAAAAAAGCGCCACUAAUGCUCGGGGUUUUAGCGGCGUUUUUCAAAAAGCGCCGCUAAUACUCAGGGUUUUAGCGGCGUUUUUGAAAAAGCGCCGCUAAAAACAUUUUAUCUUAAUUGGUUUAUUUAUAUUAAUUAAAUAAAAUUCAAUUUAUUUCUAAUUGAAUAUUUAAAAUCUUCAGAAAAGAAUAAUAACACGUAGAAAUAAUUUGAAAUAAAACACAUGGAAAAAUUAAAAUACUAUUAUUUAAAAUAAUUUUAAAGUUUUUUGGGUACAUGAUUACUGAUUAUUUUUUAAUUUAUAUAUUAAAUUUUUUUUAUAUAAUCAUAAAAGAGUUAGUAAUAAUUUUAAAAUAUUGAAUUAAUUAUCACUAUAGUUUAGGAUUUUUGGUUUAAGGUAUAUGAUUUAUUUAAGAUUUAAGGCUGGUUUAGGAGUUACUAUUUUAAGGUUUAAGGAGUAUUGAUUAAGGAUUAUGGUUUAAGGGUUGAGAUUUAAGGUUUAAGGGUUAGGGGUUAGGGGUUAGGGGUUUAGGGAUUUAGAGUUUAGGGAUUCAUGGGUCGAGUUAGGGUUUUGGGUUUAGAUUAAUUAUUUUUUAAUUUAUAUUUUAAAUAUGUUUUUUAAUUUAUAUAUUAAAUAAUUUCAUAUAUAAUUGAAAAAGAUAAGAUAGUAUCAAUUUUAAAAUAUUUAAUUAAUUAUCAUUAUAGUUUAGGGUUUAUAUGGUUUACGGUAUAUGGUUAAUUUAAGAUUUAAGGCCAGUUUGGGAGUUACUAUUUUAAGGUUUGAGGAUUAUAUAUGGAUUUAGGAAUUACGGAUUAGGGAUUAUGGUUUAAGGGUUGGGAUUUAAGAUUUAGGGGUUAGGAGUUAGGAGUUAGGAGUUAGGAGUUAGGGGUCAGGGGUUAAGAGAUAGAGAUUUAGGGUUUUAAGGGCCGAGUUAAGGUUUAAGGUUUAGAUUAAUUAGUUUUUUAAUUUAUAUAUUAAAUAUGUUCUUAUAUAAUUGUAAAAGAUAUAAUAAUAAAUUUAAUAUAUUGAAAUUAUGAGUAUAGUUUAUAUUAUUUAAGAGAUACAUAAUAGAUAGACUUUAUGUAUAUUGAAUGGUUAAUUUAGGGUUUAAGGUUUUCUUGAGAUUUGUUAAAUAAUACAAUUUUAUACAAUUAAUUAAUGCUUUUAUAUUUAAAAAUAUUUAAUAAUUCUUUAUGUAAUUCUUUAUGUAAAAUUUUAAUAAUUCUUUAUGUAAAAUUUAUAAGAAAUAUACAAUAAUUGAAUAUAAAAAAAUAUGCGAGCUUUAGCGGCGUUUUCAGCAAAAAACGCCAUUACUAUGUACUAAAAUUUCCCAAAACGGCGCCGUUUCAAUAGAAGAAUUUAAAUUUCUUAGUGGCGUUUUCAGAAAAAAUACCGCAAAAGAUACACAUUACCGGCAUUUUGAUAAAAAACACCGCAAAUUUGUAUUACAAUUUUUCAAUACGGUGUCAUUUCAGUUUAAGUAGUGGCAUUUUUUCUUUAAAACGUCACAAAUGUGAAAGCAAAUAAAAGAUAAUCAAAAUCCCGCUCACUUCCAAAAAAAAAUUUUUGGUUACCCGCUCAUUACUCCCUCUUCUUCUCAUCUCUGUCGUGCGCCCUAAAUCCCCCAAAUAAAAGUUUGUUUUUCUUUAGCUGAAAUCCCCCAAAUUUCCCAUUUCCAACAACAGACUUCAAGGAAGAAAACCAAAAGAUGGGAUGGGAUCACCCAGACAUAUCGCUGGAAGAAAUGAUGAAACUGAUAGAAGGGUUUGUUGAUAUCCUGGUUUUUUUGUUUUGUUUUAUUUUUUUUAAUUUUAUUUACUUUUAGGACUUUUUAAGGAAUGACAAGAAAGAAGAAUCUGGCAAUGACAAGUUCGACAAACCCAUAUCAGAGACUAGGGUUUCAAGGGAAGAAUGUGGUUCAAAUGGGAGAAAUCUAAAUAAGAAGAGAAGUUAUGCACAGUUUCAUUUAGAGUUAGGUCAAUCUGAUUUUCUUUUCCAUGCCUGUUCAAUUUGUGGGGUCAAGUGUUCUCCCGGGGAUGAAGCUGAUGAAAGGAACCAUUCCAUUUUUCACAAGAAUUUCAGUCUUGGGGUUCAAUUCAAGGCCCUUGCUGACAGAGAGAGCAUUCAAGCUAGAUCUGAGUUGUUUGCCUACAAUAUUCUGCCACUUGAUCAUGGAGGUAUUCAGCAAGCAAUUAUGAAAUUUCCUGAGGUCUGACACUACACGAAUAUACUCUGGUUUUCUUUUUUCAGUCCACUUUUGUCUCUAAGAGGUAGUUGUCACAAUAUUCCCCAUGGGGACAUAUUCCAUGCUAGCCCAUCCCUUAGUGAAGCUCAGUUCCUUUGUUUGAAUUCUUAUGCUUUAAGUAGAUAAGGGUUUCUAUGUACUGCCUGAAAACAUUUUGUACUUCAAAUAAUAAUAUGCCAUAUGAAAAUAAAAUAUUUUACCAAUAAAAUAAAAUAAAAAACAAGAAUCGAAUAUCAAAAAAUUUGAACAUAGAAGAAGUUUAAUCAAUUUGCUUGCAAAAACUCUUCAAGGUCUAUCUCUUUUCAUCUUCUUAAUUAAUUGUUACUCUUCCCAAUGGUCGCCUACCAAAGAAAACGACAUUUUGCCAAUCAAACUAGGUAUGUGUUUUCUUGGUUUUUUAUAUAUAUUCUUUUCUUUUGACAAAGAACUUGAGGUUGAACUGAUUUGACUAAGGACUUGGAGUUGAACUAAUUUGAUUCUUGUUUUUUAUUUUAUUUUAUUUUAUUUUAUUGGCAAGAAAGAUAAAAUAUUUUAUUUAUCAAAUAAUCUAAAAGAUUUUGAAUUCUUAUGCUUGUUGAUAAAGUUGGCGAUUUUGAGUGGUUAAUUCAGAAAUCUCCAUUAUCUUAGACUUGCAAAGUAGAACAGGACACUAACUGUUUUGGUCCCUUUUAAUAGAAACAGAACUCUCCAGGAUUUCUGCAUUAUUAUUUAGUGUGAACAUUACUAAUGUAUUUCCAUAUGACAGGUUCGUUCAACUUGAUGUGGGUCUUCUAAAGGUGCUGUUGAAGAAGCAAAAGCAGUUUUUGGUCAAGCAGCUGCUCUUUGUGUUCAAAAGCAGUACGUGGAUCAUGGGGCAGCUGGCCCAAUUUUGUAUAUUUCCAGUGAGGAUUAUAAUUUGGUUUUGUCGCGGAAUACAUUGAAUCUGAGAACUUGAGUGAUCUAGAAGAUGUUGAUACAUGUCUUAAGGUUUGGAGCCAUCAAACACUGGUGGUGUUGUCUUCUUUAUGGUUCAGACUGCGAGAGUGGAGAGGAGGAUAAAUGAGACAGAUAACUACAGCAAAUUGGUGUAUGUAUAGGAAGCUUAAAUUUUUAUUUUGUAGCAUUAAGUUUUCUGUAGCAUUAAGUUUUUAUUUUGUAUGCAUUGGUGUAUGUGAUUUUAUCAUGAGGAUAAUUGUUUUCUGUAGCUAUCUUUCCAUUGUUUAUUUUAGUUUUGAUUCUAAAUUUUUAUUUUUACUUUAAUAUUUACGACAAGUUGAGUUCUAA